This 394-nucleotide ribosomal RNA is filed under the name uncultured bacterium. Its description in RNAcentral is "bacterial SSU rRNA". It matches the Rfam family "Bacterial small subunit ribosomal RNA", at positions 30 to 429 of the family's 1533-position model. The record is from RNAcentral.
AUUGAACGCUGGCGGCAUGCCUUACACAUGCAAGUCGAACGGCAGCACGGGGUAACCUGGUGGCGAGUGGCGAACGGGUGAGUAAUAUAUCGGAACAUACCCUAGAGUGGGGGAUAACGUAGCGAAAGUUACGCUAAUACCGCAUACGAACUAAGGUUGAAAGUGGGGGAUCGCAAGACCUCAUGCUCAUGGAGUGGCCGAUAUCUGAUUAGCUAGUUGGUGAGGUAAAGGCUCACCAAGGCGACGAUCAGUAGCUGGUCUGAGAGGACGACCAGCCACACUGGAACUGAGACACGGUCCAGACUCCUACGGGAGGCAGCAGUGGGGAAUUUUGGACAAUGGGGGCAACCCUGAUCCAGCAAUGCCGCGUGAGUGAAGAAGGCCUCGGUGUAAG